GACGAACGCUGGCGGCGUGCUUAACACAUGCAAGUCGAACGGAAAGGCCCUGCUUUUGUGGGGUGCUCGAGUGGCGAACGGGUGAGUAACACGUGAGUAACCUGCCCUUGACUUUGGGAUAACUUCAGGAAACUGGGGCUAAUACCGGAUAGGAGCUCCUGCUGCAUGGUGGGGGUUGGAAAGUUUCGGCGGUUGGGGAUGGACUCGCGGCUUAUCAGCUUGUUGGUGGGGUAGUGGCUUACCAAGGCUUUGACGGGUAGCCGGCCUGAGAGGGUGACCGGCCACAUUGGGACUGAGAUACGGCCCAGACUCCUACGGGAGGCAGCAGUGGGGAAUAUUGCACAAUGGGCGGAAGCCUGGUGCAGCAAUGCCGCGUGCGGGAUGACGGCCUUCGGGUUGUAAACCGCUUUCGCCUGUGACGAAGCGUGAGUGACGGUAAUGGGUAAAGAAGCACCGGCUAACUACGUG
This 468-nucleotide ribosomal RNA is filed under the name uncultured bacterium. RNAcentral's name for it is "partial 16S ribosomal RNA". It matches the Rfam family "Bacterial small subunit ribosomal RNA", at positions 28 to 507 of the family's 1533-position model. The record is from RNAcentral.